UAGGGAAUCUUCCGCAAUGGGCGAAAGCCUGACGGAGCAAUGCCGCGUGAGUGAUGAAGGCCUUCGGGUCGUAAAGCUCUGUUGAGGGGGAAGAAUGAUGCAUCCGAUAAUACCGGAUGAGCUUUGACGGUACUCCUCGAGGAAGCCCCGGCUAAUUACGUGCCAGCAGCCGCGGUAAUACGUAAGGGGCAAGCGUUGUCCGGAAUCACUGGGCGUAAAGCGCACGUAGGCGGCUUGGCAAGUCAGGGGUGCAAGCUCUAGGCUUAACCUAGAAAUUGCCUCUGAAACUACCUCGCUUGAGGGUCAGAGGGGAAACUGGAAUUCACGGUGUAGCGGUGAAAUGCGUAGAUAUCGUGGAGAACACCCGUGGCGAAGGCGGGUUUCUGGCUGACAACUGACGCUGAGGUGCGAAAGCUAGGGGAGCGAACGGGAUUAGAUACCCCCGUAGUCC
RNAcentral lists this ribosomal RNA (451 nucleotides) under uncultured bacterium. RNAcentral describes it as "bacterial SSU rRNA". It matches the Rfam family "Bacterial small subunit ribosomal RNA", at positions 355 to 796 of the family's 1533-position model. The record is from RNAcentral.